UCUACGGGGGGCAGCAGUGGGGAAUAUUGGACAAUGGGGGGAACCCUGAUCCAGCCAUGCCGCGUGUGUGAAGAAGGCCCUCGGGUUGUAAAGCACUUUCAGUGAGGAAGAACGCCUGGUGGUUAAUACCCAUCAGGAAAGACAUCACUCACAGAAGAAGCACCGGCUAACUCCGUGCCAGCAGCCGCGGUAAUACGGAGGGUGCGAGCGUUAAUCGGAAUUACUGGGCGUAAAGCGCGCGUAGGUGGCUUGAUAAGCCGGUUGUGAAAGCCCCGGGCUCAACCUGGGAACGGCAUCCGGAACUGUCAAGCUAGAGUGCAGGAGAGGAAGGUAGAAUUCCCGGUGUAGCGGUGAAAUGCGUAGAGAUCGGGAGGAAUACCAGUGGCGAAGGCGGCCUUCUGGACUGACACUGACACUGAGGUGCGAAAGCGUGGGUAGCAAACAGGAUUAGAUACCCGAGUAGUC
RNAcentral lists this ribosomal RNA (465 nucleotides) under Vreelandella stevensii. RNAcentral describes it as "partial 16S ribosomal RNA". It matches the Rfam family "Bacterial small subunit ribosomal RNA", at positions 338 to 795 of the family's 1533-position model. Lineage: Bacteria; Pseudomonadati; Pseudomonadota; Gammaproteobacteria; Oceanospirillales; Halomonadaceae. The record is from RNAcentral.